AACGAACGCUGGCGGCGUGCUUAACACAUGCAAGUCGAACGGAAAGGCCCUGCUUUUGUGGGGUGCGCUGGUGGCGAAGGGGUAAGUAACACGUGAGUAACCUGCCCUUGACUGUGGGAUAACUUCAGGAAACUGAGGCUAAUACCGGAUAGGAUCUCCUGCUGCAGGGUGGGGGUUGGAAAGUUUCGGCGGUUGGGGAUGGAAUCGCGGCUUAUCAGCUUGUUGGUUGGGUAGUGGAAUACCAAGACUUGGAGCGGUAGCCGGGCUGAGAGGGUGAGCGGCUAAGCCGGGAUGGAGAUAAGGCACAGACCAGACUCGGAGGCAAGGGUGGGGAAGAGUGUACAAUGGGAGGAAGGCUGACGUAGUAACGCAGUGCGGGGGAAGACGGGCUGGGGGUAGGAAUCCGCUGUUGUUUGACACGAAGUGAUAGUGACGGUAACGGGAAAAGAAGCACCGGCUAACUACGUG
RNAcentral lists this ribosomal RNA (468 nucleotides) under uncultured bacterium. RNAcentral describes it as "partial 16S ribosomal RNA". It matches the Rfam family "Bacterial small subunit ribosomal RNA", at positions 29 to 507 of the family's 1533-position model. The record is from RNAcentral.